CUUCCGUAGGGGGACCUGCGGAGGGAUCAUUACACAAAUAUGAAGGCGGGCUGGAACCUCUCGGGGUUACAGCCUUGCUGAAUUAUUCACCCUUGUCUUUUGCGUACUUCUUGUUUCCUUGGUGGGUUCGCCCACCACUAGGACAAACAUAAACCUUUUGUAAUUGCAAUCAGCGUCAGUAACAAAUUAAUAAUUACAACUUUCAACAACGGAUCUCUUGGUUCUGGCAUCGAUGAAGAACGCAGCGAAAUGCGAUAAGUAGUGUGAAUUGCAGAAUUCAGUGAAUCAUCGAAUCUUUGAACGCACAUUGCGCCCUUUGGUAUUCCAAAGGGCAUGCCUGUUCGAGCGUCAUUUGUACCCUCAAGCUUUGCUUGGUGUUGGGCGUCUUGUCUCUAGCUUUGCUGGAGACUCGCCUUAAAGUAAUUGGCAGCCGGCCUACUGGUUUCGGAGCGCAGCACAAGUCGCACUCUCUAUCAGCAAAGGUCUAGCAUCCAUUAAGCCUUUUUUUCAACUUUGACCUCGGAUCAGGUAGAAUGCCCCCA
Molecule: ribosomal RNA, 542 nt
Filed under: Alternaria pomicola
Lineage: Eukaryota; Fungi; Ascomycota; Dothideomycetes; Pleosporales; Pleosporaceae
Description: eukaryotic LSU rRNA
Rfam family: 5.8S ribosomal RNA (bases 198-351)
Source: RNAcentral